CGGACGGGUGAGUAACGCGUGGGUAACCUGCCCUGUACAGGGGGAUAACAGCCGGAAACGGCUGCUAAAACCGCAUGACAUGUGGAUACCGCAUGGUAGCCACAUCAAAUAUUUAUAGGUACAGGAUGGGCCCGCGUCUGAUUAGCCAGUUGGCAGGGUAACGGCCUACCAAAGCGACGAUCAGUAGCCGGCUUGAGAGAGUGACCGGCCACAUUGGGACUGAGACACGGCCCAAACUCCUACGGGAGGCAGCAG
RNAcentral lists this ribosomal RNA (255 nucleotides) under uncultured bacterium. RNAcentral's name for it is "partial 16S ribosomal RNA". It matches the Rfam family "Bacterial small subunit ribosomal RNA", at positions 99 to 354 of the family's 1533-position model. The record is from RNAcentral.